Molecule: ribosomal RNA, 253 nt
Filed under: uncultured bacterium
Lineage: Bacteria
Description: partial 16S ribosomal RNA
Rfam family: Bacterial small subunit ribosomal RNA
Source: RNAcentral
UACGUAGGGUGCGAGCGUUAAUCGGAAUUACUGGGCGUAAAGGGUGCGCAGGCGGUAAUGUAAGCUUGAUGUGAAAUCCCCGGGCUCAACCUGGGAAUGGCAUUGAGGACUGCAUAACUAGAGUUUGGCAGAGGGGGAUGGAAUUCCACGUGUAGCAGUGAAAUGCGUAGAGAUGUGGAGGAACACCGAUGGCGAAGGCAGUCCCCUGGGUUAAAACUGACGCUCAAGCACGAAAGCGUGGGGAGCAAACAGG